This 264-nucleotide ribosomal RNA is filed under the name uncultured bacterium. RNAcentral describes it as "partial 16S ribosomal RNA". It matches the Rfam family "Bacterial small subunit ribosomal RNA", at positions 28 to 293 of the family's 1533-position model. The record is from RNAcentral.
GACGAACGCUGGCGGCGUGCUUAACACAUGCAAGUCGAGCGGUAAGACCCUUUCGGGGGUACACGAGCGGCGAACGGGUGAGUAACACGUGGGUGACCUGCCUUUAGCUCUGGGAUAAGCCUGGGAAACCGGGUCUAAUACCGGAUAUGACUCCGCGGCGCAUGUUGUGGGGUGGAAAGCCUUGUGCGGCUGGAGAUGGGCCCGCGGCCUAUCAGCUUGUUGGUGGGGUGAUGGCCUACCAAGGCGACGACGGGUAGCCGGCCU